CCUACGGAGGGCAGCAGUGGGGAAUAUUGGACAAUGGGGGCAACCCUGAUCCAGCCAUGCCGCGUGUGUGAAGAAGGCCCUCGGGUUGUAAAGCACUUUCAGUGAGGAAGAACGCCUGGUGGUUAAUACCCAUCAGGAAAGACAUCACUCACAGAAGAAGCACCGGCUAACUCCGUGCCAGCAGCCGCGGUAAUACGGAGGGUGUGAGCGUUAAUCGGAAUUACUGGGCGUAAAGCGCGCGUAGGUGGCUUGAUAAGCCGGUUGUGAAAGCCCCGGGCUCAACCUGGGAACGGCAUCCGGAACUGUCAAGCUAGAGUGCAGGAGAGGAAGGUAGAAUUCCCGGUGUAGCGGUGAAAUGCGUAGAGAUCGGGAGGAAUACCAGUGGCGAAGGCGGCCUUCUGGACUGACACUGACACUGAGGUGCGAAAGCGUGGGUAGCAAACAGGAUUAGAUACCCGGGUAGUC
RNAcentral lists this ribosomal RNA (465 nucleotides) under Vreelandella stevensii. Its description in RNAcentral is "partial 16S ribosomal RNA". It matches the Rfam family "Bacterial small subunit ribosomal RNA", at positions 338 to 795 of the family's 1533-position model. The record is from RNAcentral. Lineage: Bacteria; Pseudomonadati; Pseudomonadota; Gammaproteobacteria; Oceanospirillales; Halomonadaceae.